ACAAAAAUUGAAAUUGCUUUACAACAAUUGGGAUGGCCCCAACAAACACCCAUCAGUAGGUGUUGAAUUUCUUCUUGCUUGGUAUUCUCUUCUUCUUCUACUUUAUGCUAAAUUUCUUCAAAAAGUUGAUCGAACCAAGCACAUGUUUCCAUGCAUCAAUCAUAGGAACUUUAAUCUCCAAUUUCUUGAAGAUCUCCAUGAAGUACUUGAACCUAUUUUCCUUCCUAUGAUUUUUCUUCUUAUGAGGAGUGGGUUUUUUAUGUGAUCUUUUCUUCUUUACCCUCUUCCUCUUUUUCUCAACCUUCUCCCUCAACUUUCUCUUUUUCUCUUUUCUUCUUUUUUCUUAACCACUGCUUUUUGUCCCUCAUCAUCUUUAUCUUCCUCAACCAACUCUUUUGUUUCUUCUUCUUUUAAAUCUCUCUCUAUCUCUUCUUCCUCUAUCUUUUCCUCCUUGACAACCUUAUCAUUUUUAGAGAUAGU
This 480-nucleotide long non-coding RNA is filed under the name Vigna radiata. Its description in RNAcentral is "long non-coding RNA (VRAD_LNC014341)". Lineage: Eukaryota; Viridiplantae; Streptophyta; Magnoliopsida; Fabales; Fabaceae. The record is from RNAcentral.